RNAcentral lists this ribosomal RNA (484 nucleotides) under uncultured bacterium. Its description in RNAcentral is "partial 16S ribosomal RNA". It matches the Rfam family "Bacterial small subunit ribosomal RNA", at positions 30 to 507 of the family's 1533-position model. The record is from RNAcentral.
AUUGAACGCUGGCGGCAGGCCUAACACAUGCAAGUCGAGCGGAUGAAGGGAGCUUGCUCCUGGAUUCAGCGGCGGACGGGUGAGUAAUGCCUAGGAAUCUGCCUGGUAGUGGGGGAUAACGUCCGGAGACGGGCGCUAAUACCGCAUACGUCCUGAGGGAGAAAGUGGGGGAUCCUCGGACCUCACGCUAUCAGAUGAGCCUAGGUCGGAUUAGCUAGUUGGUGGGGUAAAGGCCUACCAAGGCGACGAUCCGUAACUGGUCUGAGAGGAUGAUCAGUCACACUGGAACUGAGACACGGUCCAGACUCCUACGGGAGGCAGCAGUGGGGAAUAUUGGACAAUGGGCGAAAGCCUGAUCCAGCCAUGCCGCGUGUGUGAAGAAGGUCUUCGGAUUGUAAAGCACUUUAAGUUGGGAGGAAGGGCAGUAAGUUAAUACCUUGCUGUUUUGACGUUACCAACAGAAUAAGCACCGGCUAACUUCGUG